Neogale vison (American mink) is the source of this 1945-nucleotide long non-coding RNA. RefSeq lists it as uncharacterized. The transcript has 3 exons. The record is from RefSeq and is a predicted model, not a curated record. Lineage: Eukaryota; Metazoa; Chordata; Mammalia; Carnivora; Mustelidae.
CUGCGGGUUGGAUCCCAGGACCCCGGGGAUCGUGACCUGAGCCACUUAGACGCCCCUAAAAUGUCUAGUUUUCAGCAACAAAAAAUUCUAGAACACUGUAGAGAGCAAGACGAAGUCUUUCACUCAAGCAGGAACCUGUGUCUGGCAAUGCCCAAGCCGUUGAAGGUACCACAGCCACGAGAUCCUGCCGCGCCCAGCACUGAUAACCGGCAGAAGCCGAAGGCAUCUGCAGGCCCCAGACCCGUUAGAUCCGUUUAAAAAGGGAGGGUUUUGCAGCAAACGUCAGACUCUCCGGCCGGACACCUCUAGACAGACCCCCUCAGCCUGACCGCUUCAGAAAGGCAGCUGCUGCCCAAGCCUCGCCCGGCUGGUCUCCAAACAGGGCUGAGAUGCGUCCCUGCUUGAAGAGAAGCAGCACCUGCCGAGAGUGGACCGGGGCAAGACCCUGGCCCCCUCUCAGCCGCCGCCCGCAGACUGACUUGGGGUUCGGUUCGUGAACUCCCUGCCCCCUUGGUAUCUUGUCUGUGCUGUGCCGUGUAAGAAGCCAAGUCAGUCCCACGGUGAAAUGUCACUGAGUCUGGAAUCCUACACCCUCUUUACGUUACCCUCGCCUCAGAACCGAAUAAAGCCUAAAGCUGACACCGUGCGAAGACACGACUCGUGUGCGCACCUUCGCAGCCUCAGGACAAGUGCUCUCAGGGCACCCCCGGAAGGGAUUCAAGGGCGCCUGGGUGGCUCAGGGGGUUAAGCCAUUGCCUUUGGCUCAGGUCAUAAUCCUUGUCCCCGAACGGUGGUCGGCGCAUCUCCCACAAUGACCAGCAAAGAGGAAACCACCGAAACGUCCAGUCCAUGAGCCAUCGGGCAGAUGAGCAGAACGUGGCGUGUUCCUCAGCCACGGGGGAAGUUGUGACACGGUCCGAGUCUGGAGUUGGAACAAAGCUGACGGUGUCUGCGGCUGGAAAGGGAGGCGGCGCAGGCACGGGCUGCUCCUGAGGCCAAGAAAGCGUGCUCGGGAACAACACAGCCCCUGACGACCAAGAUGAGUAUUCUCGCGGGCGUCUGGCUCCGAGCUGGAGGAGCGGCAGGGAGUGGGACAGCUUCCCCGCCCCCCACGCUGCUUCUGUUCUGGGCGCGACAGCGGGCGGUGGAGUCCCGUCCUCCUGUGAGCUGGGUUCGUGACAGCCCCUCCUGUGUUGGUUGGAACUAGAGGCAAGCGUCCGCGAGUAACGGUGCUACGUGAGGCAGAAGUUUGCUCCCCCUUCCACGACACGGAGCUCCGCACAGCGGGGUUGUGCUGCCUCUGGGCGGCCGGGAAGUGCCCGCUCCUUUCCCCGCAUUCCCGACCCUGGCUGGGCAUCCUGCUGCAGACGCGCUCCGAGCUCCAGCCAUCACUUCCACAUUCCGGAGGGCAGGAGAAUGGAUCGGGCUCAGAGGGCCGGCGUCUCUGGGUGAGGCCUUUGCCUGGUGCUCACCUGGAAGCUUCUGUUCUUAUCCUACUGGCCAAAGCAUAGUCACAAGGCCAUACCUCCAGGCACAAGAAUCCAAAUUGGGGUCUAGGAGUACGGAGGACGGAACUAGACACAGUCGCAGACCCUGCUGCACCAUCAAAACAAAGCAUUUAUGACCUGAGAUUCUGUCCUUGUAUGUCUGACCUACAUUUUCACAGCCUGACGGCUCCUUGGUUUUCUCUUUUCAGCAGAUCCCAUGUGCAGCAUGGGGUACCACGCAGGGCUAGAACUCACAACCUCUUGAGAUCAAGACCUGAGCUGAGAUCGAGUCGGGCAGUUAACCCACUGAGCCACCCAGGCGCCCCAUAAAAAUAAAAUCUUAAAAAAAAAAAAGUAUCAUACAAACGACAUUACUGAAAAUCAGAACAGAAAUUCUGCUUCCCUGGAGCGCCUGGGUGGCUCAGUGGGUUAAAGCCUCUGCCUUCGGCUCAGGUCAU